CGCCAGACUCCUACGGGAGGCAGCAGUGAGGAAUAUUGGUCAAUGGGCGAGAGCCUGAACCAGCCAAGUCGCGUGAGGGAGUACUGCCCUAUGGGUUGUAAACCUCUUUAGGCGGGGAGCAAUGCCGGGCACGCGUGUCCGGAGGGAGAGUACCCGCAGAAUAAGCAUCGGCUAACUCCGUGCCAGCAGCCGCGGUAAUACGGAGGAUGCGAGCGUUAUCCGGAUUUAUUGGGUUUAAAGGGUGCGUAGGCGGAUUUUUAAGUCAGCGGUAAAAUGUCCGGGCUCAACCCGGGCCGGCCGUUGAAACUGGGGAUCUUGAGUGGGCGAGAAGUAUGCGGAAUGCGUGGUGUAGCGGUGAAAUGCAUAGAUAUCACGCAGAACUCCGAUUGCGAAGGCAGCAUACCGGCGCCCGACUGACGCUGAGGCACGAAAGCGUGGGGAUCGAACAGGAUUAGAUACCCUAGUAAUC
This 469-nucleotide ribosomal RNA is filed under the name uncultured bacterium. RNAcentral describes it as "bacterial SSU rRNA". It matches the Rfam family "Bacterial small subunit ribosomal RNA", at positions 329 to 795 of the family's 1533-position model. The record is from RNAcentral.